GCUAGUGCUUCGUCGCUGGGGUCACACCCGUUCUCAUUCCGAACACGGAAGUUAAGCCCGGUUGAGGCGAUGAUAGUGGAAACGCGAAAGUAGCUAGGCGCUAGCA
Non-coding RNA from Candidatus Nomurabacteria bacterium, 106 nucleotides. The record is from Rfam. Lineage: Bacteria; Candidatus Nomuraibacteriota.